Molecule: non-coding RNA, 33 nt
Filed under: Mus musculus (house mouse)
Lineage: Eukaryota; Metazoa; Chordata; Mammalia; Rodentia; Muridae
Source: RNAcentral
AUUUGCGUGUACUGUUGCUGCUGAUCGUUUGGU